Molecule: long non-coding RNA, 1221 nt
Organism: Cyprinus carpio carpio
Lineage: Eukaryota; Metazoa; Chordata; Actinopteri; Cypriniformes; Cyprinidae
Source: Ensembl
AGAGACUUGAGAGUUAUAUGUCUGCUUCCUUCUCAACUGGAAGCUAUGAAAGUCAGCAAGGUCGGAAAUCAGAACGCAGAAGAGCUUCCUCUAGUUUUUGGGUUUUCAGAGUAAAGAGAGAAAAACACAACAGCGGAGUCCGAGGCAUGUGGAGAUGCUACCUUUUCUCCAAGCAAGCGGGGCCCACCCAGAAUGCUUUGACAUGGAAGAUUCUGCCACCAUUAAUGGAGACAGAUAUGUUAGAUUCUGAAGUAUUUAGCUCAACCCACCUGCUUUCACUAAGAAAAUAAAGCUUGGGAGAAUUUCCUUCUCUGGAUAAAUGGACCAUUGAAGACUUGAUGUAUUAUUUGUGUUUAAAAAAAGGAUACAUUUUCACCAUUUAAUUCUACUGUAAAUUAAUAGUGGUGGACUGUUGGAAUAGCAUCCUCCUUAUGUUGCUAAAACCAUUUAUUAUCAGAGGUCUGAUCUGGUGGGCUUUCAGCUGUUAUUCUAACAGUCUAUCACUGUUAGUAUCAGCGGUGUUUAACUUUGCAUGUGAACCAUUUAGCCAUGAGUAUCUUGGUAAUUUAGUAAUAAGAUUACAUUAUAGUGAGAACUGAAAACAUGGUUUACAAGUUAUGCAAAGAUUUUAUGAUUAAAGCAUUUUUUCUCUUUCUAAUGCAGUCUGAUAUUUGGCUCCCAUGCAAACACAAUCUGACCUAGGCGAACUACAGAUUCCUGUUACUAACAUUAUUCUCUCAGAUCUGUAUUUGAAUGAGGUUAAUUCAAUUUCUUGCUGUGAAUACCAAGCGUCCCUCUACGUUUUAAAUGGUGAGGAAGAACAAAGUCAUUUUCACCAGGUGGGGGUUCAGGUUAAGCCAUAGGAAAACCGGAUAAGGGAUGUUUCAUUAGAGGCCUAUAGCGAUGACUCAAACCGAAGUGGGUACAAACUGAAGGGGUGUAUCAAUAUGGCCAUUGUUGCAGAGGGCGUAACAGCCCCAAAUGGAGUCUGUGACUCUAGUGCAGGAUUUCACACCCCCUCCAGAGCGUUCACACAACCUGGCAUCUUAGAAACUGUACAAGGAGAUUGAAAGCAUGUCAAAUGACUCCUAUCAGCUGAGAAUCAGACAAAUAAUAAGAGCUCUUGCUGUGGUUUCAUUAACAAUUGUUUGACUUUGCUGGAAACUAUGUCUGCCUCAAAUUUUCAUUUUUAUUUAUGCUUGUCGAUGCUGAGGUGUCCUG